This 1318-nucleotide unclassified non-coding RNA is filed under the name Aspergillus flavus. Its description in RNAcentral is "sequence contains ITS1, 5.8S rRNA gene and ITS2". The stretch from base 190 to 343 matches the Rfam family "5.8S ribosomal RNA". The record is from RNAcentral. Lineage: Eukaryota; Fungi; Ascomycota; Eurotiomycetes; Eurotiales; Aspergillaceae.
AAAGGGGAAAAGAGUUUGGGGAUCUAGCGAGCCCACCUCCCACCCGUGUUUACUGUACCUUAGUUGCUUCGGCGGGCCCGCCAUUCAUGGCCGCCGGGGGCUCUCAGCCCCGGGCCCGCGCCCGCCGGAGACACCACGAACUCUGUCUGAUCUAGUGAAGUCUGAGUUGAUUGUAUCGCAAUCAGUUAAAACUUUCAACAAUGGAUCUCUUGGUUCCGGCAUCGAUGAAGAACGCAGCGAAAUGCGAUAACUAGUGUGAAUUGCAGAAUUCCGUGAAUCAUCGAGUCUUUGAACGCACAUUGCGCCCCCUGGUAUUCCGGGGGGCAUGCCUGUCCGAGCGUCAUUGCUGCCCAUCAAGCACGGCUUGUGUGUUGGGUCGCCGUCCCCUCUCCGGGGGGGACGGGCCCCAAAGGCAGCGGCGGCACCGCGUCCGAUCCUCGAGCGUAUGGGGCUUUGUCACCCGCUCUGUGGGCCCGGCGGGCGCUUGCCGAACGCAUUUCUAUCUUUUUUCCAGGUGGACACCGUAUCAGGAAGGGAUACCCUCUGAACUUAAGCGUUUCCACACGCUGGAAGUAAUCUUUCUUAUUAAUAUUAUAAGUUCAAUACUAUUUUAUUUUUUUUUCUUUUAUUUAUCUUUUUUCUAUUUUGUUAUUUUUUUUUUUUUCUUGUUUGUCUACUCUCCUUUUUUUUUGCCUCUAUAUUGUUUUUGUCCGUUCGUAUUUGUUUUAUGAAAUACAUUUUAUUGUAUGUCUGAUAUAAAUUAUUCCUUCGUAUCUAUUUAAUAAUGCAAUGUCUUUUUUUUUUAACUUUUUUACUUUGUGUUUGAUUUUCAUUUUAUGUCCUUUCUUUUUAGCGUUCACUAGUUUCCUUUCCUUUGUCCCUCUUUGUCCUCUUUAUAACUUCUUCUUUUUUCUUCUCUUCAUCUAUAUUUUUUCUCCUUCGUUUUUCGUAUUGCGUCCUAGCUUUCUUUUUUUUGUAUGUUANUGCACUGCAUAUCUUCGCUGUACAUAGUAUAAUUAUCAUUAUAUAUUUUUAAAUUGUAUAGUAUAAUGUUUCUUUUGUGUAGGAUGCCUUACUUUAUCACAGUUUAUUAUCAAAUCUUCAUGUCUCUCAUUAUCAUGUUUUCUUGUGAUAUAUGGUAAUUCAUAAUCUAUAGACUAAGUACAUUGCUACUCCCGCUAUUUGUGUACCUCAACUUCUAAAAUCAAUCUUUCUCGUUCGUUGACUACUUGUUCACUUUUCGUAAUUAUUUUAUUCAUAAAUGUUCCUCUCCAUGGUCUUUAUACUAUACAUUCCACUCUUCAUUAUCUUUUUUUCU